RNAcentral lists this long non-coding RNA (8021 nucleotides) under Xyrichtys novacula (pearly razorfish). Lineage: Eukaryota; Metazoa; Chordata; Actinopteri; Labriformes; Labridae. The record is from RNAcentral.
GAGCUAUUGAUUUUGUGUUAUGUGCAGAGGGUGUGAAAUAAAUUGAAAGUAUUACCACAGUAUCAAAGUGCGCAGCGCCGACAGGAACAUAAUGUACACACUUAAAUCGUCCCUCUAACAUGACGAGCAAUUACAGAUACCCAGAGAAAAGCAGCGAUAUUCAAGCAGGCGAAGUUGAGACUCAUCCAGCGGUGGUGCGGGGUUAAUUAGUGCUCUUGGUUCUAACCGAGCAUGUAGGCUGUUGAAGACUAAUGUUUGUUUGGACACACUGGUGCAGCGUCCACAGAUAAUGUCAUCAUUAACUAUUGAUGCGCUUAUGUGUGCAGGCAGAUAGCCUCUAAAUCUGCUCCAACUUAUGUACUACACUUCCUCUAUCUGGGAAUCUGUAAAUCCCCCACAUACACGCACACACAUACAUACACAUCUCCUCCACCCCUCAUGGUUUUUCACACCUUCACUCUCCACCCUGCUCUCAUCUCUUCCUCUUCCAUCUUUUCCAUUUCUUCUCUCUCUCUCUCUCUCUUUCACUUGCACAUAAGCACAAGGUACACACCGUCUGCCCAUCCUCCCCUACCACCCCCAACUUCAGUGCCGCCCCCCCUACACAGCCCUUCACUACUUGCAUUAUCUUUCCCGGAAAUUGCAUUUCCAGCACAGCCAGGGCCCCAUUAUGAAGAGGGAGCGACAUGCUGUAACCUUUUUAAAAAGCCAUUAGUGAUGCACCUGCCCCUCCCCCCACCCCCCUCCCUCCUUUACCACACCUACCCCUUAAACCCCCACCAACCCGGACCCUGCCAUACACCCCCCUCCUCCACCACCACCACUGAUUCUCUCUUCUUCUUUCACCCUCCCUGACCCCUCCCCAACCGGAUUGCAGCUGUAAUGUUAUUAGGCCGUUUCUACAGCCAUUACUCGGCCAGCUCUCUGCUCCCCCAGCUGAACAUGGAGCAGAUGCAGAGGGAGCAGCAAAGGCCAGUGGGCAAAGUGAUAAUACACAGAGGGUCAGAUGUAAAGGAGGAUUUAUAGAAAAGGGGAUGGAUGGAUGCAUAGAGGGAUAAAAUCGAAUGCAUGUUGUAGAAAAGAGGAGAGUGGGGCAAGAACCGGGAGCACAACUGAUAAAGGUAAACAAUAAACCCUCUCCGUCCCCUCAACCCUGCACCCUCUUUCAGCCCUGUUAUCCAAACACAAACAGGAACUGUAACACCAGACAUCAGUAUCACACUUGCACUAAUAUGUAAACAUGCAUACACACACAGCAGCAGCAGCAGCAGUAGCAGCAGCAGCUCGGUUCACAGUCGGCCGUAAUCCUGUCUGAGGAGCACUAUUGUUGUUGCACUGUCAUGUAGUGUUGUAGUUGUGGACCACGCUGGCUGCAUUAUCGCCCAAUUAGAAUGCAGAGACAAGCCAAGGAGGGCAGUAAAGAGGGAAGUGAAGUGCCAUGGAGCAGAGGAGAGACAGGCAGAGAGGGUUUGAGACAAGCCAGGCACACAGACAGACUCUAAAUCCAAUUGCAUGGGCAGGUUCCAAGAAGCAAAUAGUGAGAGACUGUGCAGGAGGAGGCGGAGGAGGUGAAGGAAAAAGUCCUUUUUUUUUUUUUCCCCCACAUCUUCUUUGUAAAGUACACAGCAGAGCAUGCAAGCCCUAAUGCGGCAACUGUAGCUUUACUGUACUGUACUGUACGAGCCUACACAAUAGCGUUGGCACGGUUCAGCCCACUGACUGACUGUCAAUGUGAUGGAGGUGCUGCACUAUGCCUAGGCAUUCGGAGGGACACCCAGAGGACACAAAUCCAUAAAACCAACCCACUGUAUAUUUUAAGAUUCUGCCCACUUCAUAAAAUCCCACUAUCACACAGGAGGCUGUUCAUUAAAGUAAUUACUGACAGGAUGAUGGCGCUACAGGCUGUUUUCAGAGGCGACUGCAGCGAGUGUUUAUGGCUCAUAUUCCAUAAGAUCACACUGUUUAUGUGAUUCUAACGCCGGGCGACACCGCGUGAGAUGUUUCAGUAGGUUUAGGUAAGAGAGAUGUUUCUCUUUUUAUUCUUACUAUAUCCUGUUAUGACUUGAGACUGAACCAUUCCCAGAUGAUUGAAAAUAUAUAUAACAAAAGAGUGAUUAUUGGUUAUUCAAAUGAAAUCAAAUCAAGCCACCAGCAAGGACGCAAUUUUUUUGAUAGAGUUGCAGGAUUUCUUUGAGACUGAAAGUCAGACCAGGCUCCCAUAAUGUCCAAAAAUACUGGCAUAAGUGCUGUUUUCUCUAAAAAAAAUUAAUAUAUUUUUUUCGUUGGUGUGGAAAAUAGUGCUAACUUAACAGGAUCCAGGUUGAAAAAUGUCACUGUAGUGAUAUCUAGCCCUUUAAUGCCUUUUGUAUCAUAUUUGAUACAUACUUUUAUAUACUUCUAUCAAAUCAAUGUGAGCAACAAAUUAUUAAAAAACACCUGAAUACAGUCUGAUUAAUGAUAAAAAUGUCCUCAUAUUAUAUUAUCAGUUUCCAAAAAUAUCUAAUGUAUCAAACGAGAUAAAUAGGCGUGGGUAACCUUCCAGUCGACUUCAAAAUAUAAGACGUCACCAGCUCAUGUGAGAGCUCUAUAAUAAAGCGCCAUCGGGCGUUAGUGAUACCUGCAUACGUAGAAUUCAGGGCGCUGAGCUUUGAAAAAGGAGAAGUCAUUCAGGGUGGCAAUAUAAUCACGUUGUACCACAGCAGCAUUACAGGUGUAGGUGCCAACCACCUGGUCUACAAUAUCUAUUCUACACCUCCAUUCGUAUGGUUGUAGAAUUGCAUCACUUCUGUUUUUCUCAAAGUAGUAAUUUAUAAGUAAAAAUAAGUUCAUAUGUUAUAGCAGCACGUAUAUUAUGAGGUAUAAAAAUGAUUAUAAUACUUACAUGCGUUGCUGUGUUACUGUAAAAAUAACCCUUAGGGUAGUGAGACUGCUCAGAUUAGAUGUGUGGAUCAACAGUAAAUGUAUACCUGACAGUCACAGUUGAUAAAAAUCUAAGGUUCCUUGGGUUCCCAUGUCAAAGAGAACCUAUUUGAUGAAUACGUGGAAGAUUAAAUGAUAAAAAUUAAAAAUUACAAAUAUAUUGCAAAAAAAAACUGGUGCUGGGGUCAUUUUUGACCCUCCUUAUGCAUUUAAGGGUUAAAAUGGGAAUUUCGACGUCGAAGUCAAAGCAGUAAUGGUCAAAGAUGAUUGAAUGUUGGUUUACAAGGAUGUGUAAGUUUCAUGUUAUCUCAUUACAGUAGUUUUUGAGUACUCAAAUGUACAGUGAAGUCAGCCAGAAAGAUUUAUAUCAGUAUCAUCUGUUUUAUUCCUCCCAAGAAUAAGUGACAGUUAUUUCUAUUUUUCUUUCAUUUUUUUUUUUGUGGAAUACAUCUAUCUAUCUUUAUAUCUAGAUCUCUCUGUCUGUCUGUACUUGGAGCCCUUUCUUUUCUCUCUUUGCUUCUUUCUCUAUCUAACCCCAUCAACCCCAUCUUCUCUUCUCUCUCUCCAGACACCGACACCAAAUCCCACAACAGUCUCCCUGCUGAUCGAUACCAUGACAUCAUCAGGCGUGAACAUCAUCAGAGAGCUGUGGGCGAGGUGCUGACCUGAAAAACACACACACACACACACACACACACACACACUCCUCCACAUACACACACUUUCAGGACCUGAGGGACUGAACCAUGCUGAGCGUUAACACAUCCCAUCCCAAGUAACCCCUGCCUGCCCGCCUGCCAUCACCGAUGCUGCUGUAGUGAAUCUUUCUGAUGACAAGCCCGGGACCUCUUUCACACAGGCAUGGACACGGAGCGAGCUAAUAGACAAUAAGGACAUUUCCCCUGAGUGAGCUGUUGAGAGGAGGCCAGGCUGCUGCGUGUAAAUAUGGUCAAGACAAAGCAGUACACUAUGAGACUGUUUAACCAUGCAGCAGCUGUCACAUUUGCACUUUUUCACCCUCUUAAUCAUAAAAAAUACUAAUCCUACAAUCUAUUCUUAUCAGCUGUAAGAUUUGGGGACUUUUCAAGCUGUUUUCAUCCACUGAGGGAGUGAUGGACAGACACAGUUAUUACCUGACUAGGUCUGGACGUAAACAUCCAGUAAAAUGUCCGGGUAACUCAUGAGGAACUGUCACUGGCUUCACAGGUGGCGCGGAGCCUCCAGAAAGUAGCUGAAGUGCCAGGAUCAAAAGCAGAGAAGAAGUCAAUAUCCUCAAAGCUGGAACACCUCCCAUCUGCCAAAGCUACAAAUGGGGAAGUCACUCAGUGUUUAUGACUGCAGGCUCCGCUGUGUGUGUUUCAGUCUUGAGACAACACACAGAUACUGACAAAACAACGAGGGGCAAGGGCAGAGUGGGGACGAGCUGCACUUUUUAUUAUGAAGUUUGAACGUCCAUAAAUUGAUGUGAAUGUUGAUGUUGAGGGAGCUAUGCAUUUCGAUCGAGAGAUGGAUUAGAUGUUAUCACUACACUGCAUUUUCUGUUUCAAAUGUCAUGUUUCAUAUUUGGUUUAGUAGUUUAAUUAAAAUCACCCAAUUUUGAACUUGUCUGAUGAUCUUUCCCUGACGUUAUGGUCUCUAGAUAUAUAUAGAUUCAGAUUUCUAGAAUUUAUACCAAUCAUAUUUUAUAUCUAUUAUGUAUCAUGGACUUUUCACUGUAAUUGUUACCUUGGCAACAUUAACGCACUUGUUUAAAAUGCUUCUUCCAUUGAAUUUUUCUUGAAUAUAUCAUUUUUAUUAUUUACAGACUGCUCUGAAAUAUAAACAUAUUUGCUCCAAAACCUGAAGUCUGUUUGCCCUGCAUACUUACAAUGAAGACACCAGGUGAGUGUUGAUUUGUACUCUAUAUCAACCUAGUAGUCACCUUGUAAAUUCACAUGGCAUUGGGUUGGGAAUCACCAGCGGCUCCACGAUACGAUAUCAUCACGAUACUUGGGCCACGAUAUGAUAAUAUUGCGAUUUUUAACAUUUUGCAAUUCAGUGAGUAUUGCAAUACAAUUUAUUGUGGUUUUUUAACUGUUUAGCUAAUUUAGCAUUUGGCUUUCCUUUACGUUUGUCUUUUUACUUUCAUGUAGCACAUCUUGCAAACCAUAUAUACAUUUGUUGUACUAACUUUCUCCUGCUCUAUGGUGUCUCCUCUGCCAACCUCACUGCACAAACAGUUGGUUUUAUUCUUCCAUUAUCAUAGAUCUGACUUCACAUGAGCAAUUAAUUUGAAGAAAUUGAUACUUGGCAAAUGCAACGAGACAAUAUAUCACCAGACAAAAUAUCGCAAAACUAUGCUGUAUCGAUUUUUUUCUCUCACCCGUAGAAUUGAGUAUUUCUAUCUCGUAUAGAAACAGGCAGAGGUAAAGCAAAGAAGGGUCUGCUUAAGAGUGAACAUUAUCUAAAAUAAUAUGUUGCUGCUGUUGAUAAUGUGUCUGCCCCCUAAUCAUUUCACAAACCACUUCCUCAUGCAACUUGGAUGUAAUUCAUGAUUUAAAACCAUUUAUGUGAGGAUUUGCCCUUUUUUUUCGAUAAGCCCCCUUUAGAACCAUGCAAUCAAUGGUCAUGUUUGCUGAUAGUGUUUGGCUCGAUUGGUAGCAGACUGACCAGAGUGGACACCAACUGUCGCUGUUUGCAUUCAAAAUAUUUACAAACCACAUGGCCAUAAAACUCAGACUGGGAUCAGUUAUGGAAAAAAAAAAACUGUCAUUGAAAUCCAGUUUUGUCACAAAUCCUCUACGAAGGUGCAGGUGACAGACUUCGACCGGCCCCCUUUACAUCUUACUGCCAAUAUAAAACAAGACCAGCACGGCUUUUUCAUAUCAUCAUUUUAACAAGAUAAUGAGGUACAAUAAGAAUGUGCAAGUCCUCCAAAAAAACUGGCUAUGUAAAAGAGACUUUAAUUUCUCUUCCUGUAGCGGGACGUCAUUUCAGCCUGUCACCCAAAGCCCAGGAGACGUAGCAGUUGGUGCAUCUCACCUCUCCUUAAAGGGAUAUUCCAGCAUAAAAUUAAUUUAGGGUCAAACACCAUAACACCGAGUUAGACACUCCUUCGAGGGAUGAAUGUUGCUGACUACUUGCUUCUGUAGUUAUAACAACUUUAGUAAUGACCGCACGAUAGCAAUACACAAUGGUCUCAGGAGCCAUAAACAAAUCUCAACGAAAACGCCACUCUAUAGCCACACACAAUGCUCAGAACACCACCGAACUUCAUCAACAGUACAUAUAGGGUCCCAGCCACAGCACUAGCCACCAAACAUCUUUUUAACUUUGCCUAUUUUCUUUGGCAAAAACUCUCUUCCAGCAGCUGUUUGUUUGUGGCGAGACCUCGACCAGUUGAUCAUCAUUGCUAUCUGCGGUCGCUACUAAAGUUGGUAUAACUAGGGAAGCGAGUGGUCGGCAUCAUUCAUCUCUCUAACUCAGAGUUAUUGUGUGUUUGACCCUAACUUAAUUUUACGCGGGAAUAUUCCUUUAAGCUGACAUGUAACGGGUCUCUGCGAGGGUCCUUAUAAGUACAGUAGUGUGUAAUGUAGGUGCCCUACACCGUGAUCGCCUGUUCCACUUGUGCCGUGGGGGAACUCUAAGGGAAUGGAAGAUUUCUAUUCUUCAUUCUUGUCCAUCCCAACCCUCCUGCCAUCCCCCUCUUUUCCUGGAUGGAGGGGUGCAACCCUCCCUUUACUCUCCCACUCAAACAUGGCAUAUAGGGAAAGUGGUGCAACACAGCCAAGUGAGCCCACUGAGCCAGGUUGCUCCUCCCUGCAUGUGUGCAUUUGGACCGAAGUGAGCUUGACUUCCAGCCCAGGCGACCAUCACCCCCUUACCCACCAGUGCCACCAGUGCCUCAACCUCCUCCUCCUCCUCCUCCUUCUCCCCUUUUUCACCAACCCUCCCUUUCCAUAGCAGGUGGCGCCACUGGCAGCAGGGCAGAGAGAGGGCUUUGAUUCCUAAGCCAGUGGGCUCAGUGCAUAUUCAAACUAGGGCCUUUGUUUGUGUUGCUGCGAGGCCCGAGUCAGACUUGCAUGCAGAGAAUACAAAUCAGACCUUUGACAGGAGCAGUUAACCUGCCGCUAAAUAUAGCUGCCCUGGGUCUGAAAGAGAUGGAGGGAGCACUGGAAGAGGGAGAGAUGGAAGGAGCACAUAGGGCACGGGGGAUGUAGAGGGUGAACAAUGAGGGGGAUGAGGUUGGGUGAAGAAAGCACAGAACAUGUAGAGUAGAGAAAUGAGAAGUCUUUUAUUUCCUCUAUCGUCUUUGGAUUUGAGAGAACAGGGAGGGUUAAGACAGAGCUGGAAAGUCUAUACAGAAAUGUCUGCUGAGCAACUGAUGCAUGCAAAGCCAGCAUGAUGUGUGCGUUCAGGAGGGGGGCAAAAAAGAGAAUAAAUAAAAUACACAGAGUCUGGGAGUGGGUAGCAUGGUGGGGAGAGUGGCAAAUGAAAGAUAGGGAGAGUCUGUUUAAUAAAGCAGCAAUCUUGAGGGAGCGAGGGUGAGGGAGAGAAGGAGAGGGAAUGAGAAAUGUGUUCAUACCACAGGGAUCUGAGCAGACUGCAAAAGAGGGGGGGAGAGACAGAGAAAAGAGUCAGAGAGACGAAAUUAGAGAACGAAAGAGACAAACAGCCAGGACGGGCACAGGACUUUGGACUGUCCUGUCUGGACUCCUUACUUGUUCUUGGAUUAUUGUCUCAUAUCACUCGGGUUCAUAUCGGUUCAAAAAUGACCUCAGAACCAUAGUGGAAGACAUAACACCCUUAAUCAAGUCUGUACAAAUUUGGCAAUUUUACAGUAAGAAUGUGUUAAAAAAAUUAAACCAUUGAGUGACUGACAGUCAGCAUGCAGCAGGAUUAUGUAAUACCACAGCUGUAUAAGCUGCAGAGUGAUACACGGUCAGAUAUGGUGUGUGUGUGAGUGUGUGUGUGUGUGUGUGUGUGUGCUCUGUCAGCAUGGGCCCCUCAAAGAUAUAAAGCAAAUCCACCUCUAGUGUCAGCCCAGUAAAACCCUGCAUCCUGAUACUAUUUGACAAAUAAUAAAAGCAUGAUGAAUGGUGGCGCAGUCCCCACAAUGUGCC